RNAcentral lists this ribosomal RNA (468 nucleotides) under uncultured bacterium. RNAcentral describes it as "partial 16S ribosomal RNA". It matches the Rfam family "Bacterial small subunit ribosomal RNA", at positions 28 to 507 of the family's 1533-position model. The record is from RNAcentral.
GACGAACGCUGGCGGCGUGCUUAACACAUGCAAGUCGAACGGAAAGGCCCUGCUUUUGUGGGGUGCUCGAGUGGCGAACGGGUGAGUAACACGUGAGUAACCUGCCCUUGACUUUGGGAUAACUUCAGGAAACUGGGGCUAAUACCGGAUAGGAGCUCCUGCUGCAUGGUGGGUUUUGGAAAGUUUCGGCGGUUGGGGAUGGACUCGCGGCUUAUCAGCUUGUUGGUGGGGUAGUGGAUUACCAAGGAUUUGACGGGUAGCCGGCCUGAGAGGGUGACCGGCGACAAUGGGACUGAGAUACGGACCAGAAUACUAAGGGAGGCAGCAGUGGGGAAUAUUGCACAAUGGGCGGAAGACUGAUGCAGAAACGCAGCGUGCGGGAUGACGGCCUUCGGGUUGUAAAACGAUUUCGACGGUGAAGAAGAGUGAGUGACGGUAAUGGGUAAAGAAGCACCGGCUAAGUACGUG